RNAcentral lists this ribosomal RNA (1016 nucleotides) under Salmonella enterica subsp. enterica serovar Typhimurium. Its description in RNAcentral is "partial 23S ribosomal RNA". It matches the Rfam family "Bacterial large subunit ribosomal RNA", at positions 711 to 1640 of the family's 2925-position model. The record is from RNAcentral. Lineage: Bacteria; Pseudomonadati; Pseudomonadota; Gammaproteobacteria; Enterobacterales; Enterobacteriaceae.
AGACCCGAAACCCGGUGAUCUAGCCAUGGGCAGGUUGAAGGUUGGGUAACACUAACUGGAGGACCGAACCGACUAAUGUUGAAAAAUUAGCGGAUGACCUGUGGCUGGGGGUGAAAGGCCAAUCAAACCGGGAGAUAGCUGGUUCUCCCCGAAAGCUAUUUAGGUAGCGCCUCGUGAAUUCAUCUCCGGGGGUAGAGCACUGUUUCGGCUAGGGGGCCAUCCCGGCUUACCAACCCGAUGCAAACUGCGAAUACCGGAGAAUGUUAUCACGGGAGACACACGGCGGGUGCUAACGUCCGUCGUGAAGAGGGAAACAACCCAGACCGCCAGCUAAGGUCCCAAAGUCAUGGUUAAGUGGGAAACGAUGUGGGAAGGCCCAGACAGCCAGGAUGUUGGCUUAGAAGCAGCCAUCAUUUAAAGAAAGCGUAAUAGCUCACUGGUCGAGUCGGCCUGCGCGGAAGAUGUAACGGGGCUAAACCAUGCACCGAAGCUGCGGCAGCGAACGUAUCACCCAAGACAACUUUACGGAGUUGACGAUUGACGGAGCGAAGCGACGUCAAAGCGUUCAUUAAAGUCGAGUUGGCUUAGGGAUACGUUCGUUGGGUAGGGGAGCGUUCUGUAAGCCUGUGAAGGUGUGUCGUGAGGCAUGCUGGAGGUAUCAGAAGUGCGAAUGCUGACAUAAGUAACGAUAAAGCGGGUGAAAAGCCCGCUCGCCGGAAGACCAAGGGUUCCUGUCCAACGUUAAUCGGGGCAGGGUGAGUCGACCCCUAAGGCGAGGCCGAAAGGCGUAGUCGAUGGGAAACGGGUUAAUAUUCCCGUACUUGGUGUUACUGCGAAGGGGGGACGGAGAAGGCUAUGUUGGCCGGGCGACGGUUGUCCCGGUUUAAGCGUGUAGGUGUGUGUUCCAGGUAAAUCCGGUUCACUUUAACACUGAGGCGUGACGACGAGGCACUACGGUGCUGAAGCAACAAAUGCCCUGCUUCCAGGAAAAGCCUCUAAGCAUCAGGUAACAUCAA